Molecule: ribosomal RNA, 253 nt
Filed under: uncultured bacterium
Lineage: Bacteria
Description: partial 16S ribosomal RNA
Rfam family: Bacterial small subunit ribosomal RNA
Source: RNAcentral
UACGGGGGGUGCAAGCGUUGUUCGGAAUUACUGGGCGUAAAGGGUUCGUAGGCUGCCUGCUAAGUCUGACGUGAAAUCCCUCGGCUUAACCGGGGAACUGCGUCUGAUACUGGAUGGCUUGAGAUCGGGAGAGGGAUGCGGAAUUCCAGGUGUAGCGGUGAAAUGCGUAGAUAUCUGGAGGAACACCGGUGGCGAAGGCGGCAUCCUGGACCGACACUGACACUGAGGAGCGAAAGCCAGGGGAGCAAACGGG